Long non-coding RNA from Oncorhynchus tshawytscha (Chinook salmon), 814 nucleotides. NCBI's taxonomy places the organism in Eukaryota, Metazoa, Chordata, Actinopteri, Salmoniformes, Salmonidae. The record is from Ensembl.
AGGCUGGUGUCCUGUGGGUUGUGCCUGGCUGGGAUAGGUUGGUGUCCUGUGGUUCGUGUCUGGCUGGGAGAGGCGGGUGUCCUGUAGGUUGUGUCUGGCAUCCUGUAGGUUGUGUCUGGCUGGGAGAGGAUGGUGUCCUGUGGGUUGUGUCUGGCUGGGAGAGGCUGAUGUCCUGUGGGUUGUGUCUGGCUGGGAGAGGCUGGUGUCAUGUGGGUUGUGUCUGGCUGGGAGAUGUGGGUGACCUGUAGGGUGUGUCUGGUGUCCUGUAGGUUGUGUCUGGCUGGGAUAGGCUGGUGUCCUGUGGGUUGUGUCUGGCGUCCUGUAGGUUGUGUCUGGCUGGGAGAGGCUGGUGUCCUGUGGGUUGUGUCUGGAUGGGAGAGGCUGGUGUCCUGUGGGUUGUGUCUGGCUGGGAGAGGCUGGUGUCCUGUGGGUUGUGUCUGGCUGGGAUAGGCUGGUGUCCUGUGGGUUGUGUCUGGUGUCCUGUAGGUUUUGUCUGGCUAGGAGAGGCUGAUGUCCUGUAGGUUGUGUCUGGCUGGGAGAGGCUGGUGUCCUGUGGGUUGUGUCUGGCUGGGAGAGGCUGGUGUCCUGUGGGUUGUGUCUGGCUGGGAUAGGCUGGUGUCCUGUGGGUUGUGUCUGGCGUCCUGUAGGUUGUGUCUGGCUGGGAUAGGCUGGUGUCCUGUGGGUUGUGUCUGGCGUCCUGUAGGUUGUGUCUGGCUGGGAGAGGCUGAUGUCCUGUGGGUUGUGUCUGGCUGGGAGAUGUGGGUGACCUGUAGGGUGUGUCUGGUGUCCUGUAGGUUGUGUCUGGCUGGGAUAG